Molecule: ribosomal RNA, 511 nt
Filed under: uncultured bacterium
Lineage: Bacteria
Description: bacterial SSU rRNA
Rfam family: Bacterial small subunit ribosomal RNA
Source: RNAcentral
AGAGUUUGAUUAUGGCUCAGGAUGAACGCUGGCGGCGUGCCUAACACAUGCAAGUCGAACGGGGUUACGCGCUGAUGAAGCUUCGGCGGAAUCUUGUGUAAACUUAGUGGCGGACGGGUGAGUAACGCGUGGGCAACCUGCCCUGUACUGGGGGAUAGCAGCUGGAAACGGCUGGUAAUACCGCAUAAGCGCACAGCACCGCAUGGUGCAGUGUGAAAAGCUCCGACGGUACAGGAUGGGCCCGCGUCCGAUUAGCCAGUUGGCGGGGUAACGGCCCACCAAAGCGACGAUCGGUAGCCGGCCUGAGAGGGCGGACGGCCACAUUGGGACUGAGACACGGCCCAGACUCCUACGGGAGGCAGCAGUGGGGGAUAUUGCACAAUGGGGGAAACCCUGAUGCAGCGACGCCGCGUGGGUGAAGAAGUAUUUCGGUAUGUAAAGCCCUAUCAGCAGGGACGAUGAUGACGGUACCUGAGUAAGAAGCCCCGGCUAACUACGUGCCAGCCGCCGC